UGACCAGACUCCUACGGGAGGCAGCAGUGGGGAAUAUUGGGCAAUGGGCGCAAGCCUGACCCAGCAACGCCGCGUGAAGGAAGAAGGCUUUCGGGUUGUAAACUUCUUUUCUGAGGGACGAAGAAAGUGACGGUACCUCAGGAAUAAGCCACGGCUAACUACGUGCCAGCAGCCGCGGUAAUACGUAGGGGGCAAGCGUUAUCCGGAUUUACUGGGUGUAAAGGGAGCGUAGACGGCAGUGCAAGUCUGGAGUGAAAGGCGGGGGCUCAACCCCCGGACUGCUCUGGAAACUGUACGGCUGGAGUGCAGGAGAGGUAAGUGGAAUUCCUAGUGUAGCGGUGAAAUGCGUAGAUAUUAGGAGGAACACCGGCGGCGAAGGCGGCCUGCUGGACCGUGACUGACGUUGAGGCUCGAGAGCGUGGGGAGCAAACAGGAUUAGAUACCCCAGUA
RNAcentral lists this ribosomal RNA (450 nucleotides) under uncultured bacterium. Its description in RNAcentral is "bacterial SSU rRNA". It matches the Rfam family "Bacterial small subunit ribosomal RNA", at positions 328 to 792 of the family's 1533-position model. The record is from RNAcentral.